GGUAGGCACUUAAAGUUAACCAUCGAGAGACGUUAACCACCGAGAGUCGGUUUUUAGACCCGCCCAGUGCACCUAAGCACGCCUACUUUUGGAGCUCUUUAGUAUGAAGAUAAGAAAAAUAUACGAAAUUACGGAACUGUAUACCCUGUUUUAUCCUUGUUGUUGGUGUUUCUUGCGCAUGCGCACAAAGCACGGUGAUAGUUACGGUUACUGACUCAGGAACCUUGUAUAUUAUAUACGUUUAAUAAACUGGAUCCUUGUUGUGUUCAGUUAUCGAUACACUACGAUGGAAUUACGGACCAGUUUAACAUAAACAUGGUAAAUAGAUAGACAGCUGAUAAUCAUAAUUGAUUAAGAAAUAACCUGGAAGAAGAAAUGAGUUAACUAUUGAUUACAACAGAGACGAGAAUGCCAUCGUGUUUGUUCUGCUAAAAAAAGCAGGAACAUUGGAGUUUAUGGUUAGAUUUUAAAUAUUUAUUGUCUCCAAACUGGGUAAAUUUGAUAUAGUAACACCCCCCCCCCUUUUUUUUUAAAUAACUCGAGAACCACACAUCUCGCUCGCUUAACAAAGUAACAAUAAGAAAUAAUUAUUGUUAGUUUCAAGAAUAAUUAAUCGUCAAAACUUAUCCCCUCCCCGACAUCAAAGGAAGUUAAAUGUAUUAUCCCAAAAUUAGACCAAAUUUUUAUGAUAUAAGGACGUCUUGACAGGCUAUUAUUUUAUUUUGUUUUGUUGGGUUUUUUUUUUGCUUUGACGUCUUCCUCCUGUAUGAAAAAAAAACAUAAUAGACCCCCCCCCCCCC
RNAcentral lists this long non-coding RNA (800 nucleotides) under Mytilus galloprovincialis (Mediterranean mussel). The record is from RNAcentral. Lineage: Eukaryota; Metazoa; Mollusca; Bivalvia; Mytilida; Mytilidae.